This 253-nucleotide ribosomal RNA is filed under the name uncultured bacterium. Its description in RNAcentral is "partial 16S ribosomal RNA". It matches the Rfam family "Bacterial small subunit ribosomal RNA", at positions 524 to 776 of the family's 1533-position model. The record is from RNAcentral.
UACGUAGGGGGCAAGCGUUGUCCGGAAUCAUUGGGCGUAAAGAGCGUGUAGGCGGCUCGGUAAGUCCGCUGUGAAAGUCCAGGGCUCAACCCUGGAAUGCCGGUGGAAACUGUCGAGCUAGAGUCCGGAAGAGGCGAGUGGAAUUCCUGGUGUAGCGGUGAAAUGCGCAGAUAUCGGGAGGAACACCUAUGGCGAAGGCAGCUCGCUGGGACGUUACUGACGCUAAGGCGCGAAAGCGUGGGGAGCGAACAGG